CAAAUUGUAAUACAGGAUCUUAGGGCUGAGUGUUUUGUGUUUAAUAAGUCAGUGCAUUGGUAGAAUACGAGCCGUUGUGUCUGGUUUGGAUGUGUGUCUAAGGUGGUACCCCAUUUCAAGGCAAAUGAGAACACUUGACUAUGGUAACCUAAUGGCUUUCUUUGUUAUUUUUUCUUAAACCUAAUGGCUUUCUUUGUUAUUUUUUCUUAAUGGGUUAUCCAUUCCUUGCGUUUUUACUGAGUUAUUGGCUCUGGAUAUUUUGUGGUUCACAAUGAUUCUGUUUUUGUUGUUGGGUUGCUAAAAGCAAGCAAAACCUAUAAAAUUGGCCUUUCGGUAGUUUUUUUCUCUACAUGAAUAUUAUGCUAGAAAUUAUCUGUUUGUGUUUUGUUUUUGUCUUAAUAUACUGGAUAAACUUUGUUAUGACAAUCUUAACCAACAGGUGGAUGACGCAUGUAUUAGUUAUGUUUGUAGAACUCAAUGCAUACCUUUUAUCUUAAACUUAUAUCAAGUAAUCAUAUUUGGUAAUCUCCAUUUGAUUUGGGGACUUCACUUUCUCAGAAAGAAUCAUAUGUUAUUUAAUUAAUUACAAAAAAGAUUCAUAAGAUUCUUAUAAAGUUGAAGCUUAGUGUAUGUGAAAGAGAGAGGGAGAUCCCGUCUUGAAUGGCAUCAUGAAAAUCGUUCAAACAAUAUCAAGAAAGAGCACUGAACUUGUCUUCCGAAGUUAACCUUCGGCCGCUACAGUAACGUCUAUGGGUGCCUACUCCGUCGCUAAUCGCUUUAGUCACCGUGCAGUUAUGAAUUAAGGGGAUUAACUGUUGCCUCUUUGUCACGAUUAAUUGCAGUUAUACAGGAAGAAGAAAAAAAAAAAAAAGGUUGAUAAAUUCUGAAGGAGAAUAAAAGGCUUUGAGGGAAAAAGCUAGAAAUGGAGGUGUGUGUGGUUUUGUGUACCAUCAACCGGAGAGGGAAAGCAAAAGAAUACGUAGAGACAGAGAGAUGGGGUUUAAAUAUGAGGGCAUAGUAAGGAGAGGAAGCAAAAGCAAGAGUGGUAAUCAAUCAUUAGUGGAGUGAAAAAUGUCAUUGGUGCGGUCAAAAGCACUCACAUUUUCUUUUAAUUUUAGGGCCAGAAAAUAGUAACGUUAUUCGCUCCCUCUAAUAUCAUUGGAGUGAAUAAAUUGGUCAUGAACUAGGCACUUCUAAAAUUCGAACCUAAGACAUUUUGUAAUGAAAAGAUUACUGAACAGUAUUAGUAAGUGACAAACAUCUUUUCCUUAACUGCCGUGUCUUUUACUUCAGGAAUAAAGGAAGAGUUAGAACCAACAUAUGUCCACAAUAUAUGGGAUCUAGAGUGAUAAUUAGUGGAGACGAAGGUGACAUUGUUUGGUACUAAGGGAUGUGAUAUCUACACACUCUAUUUUAUUUCUCACACACCAUUUUAAUUUUCGGCCGUUGGAUCAGAUGAAUUGAAGAAGAUCAAUGGACAAAAAUUUUCAAGGAUGUGAGAGAAGUAAAAUGAGGUGUGUGAAUAGCACAUUCCGGUACUAAAACAUCAAAUGCUCUCACUUUUUCUCCGAUACUGUUUCUAGUGAGAGAGAGAGAGAGAAACCAAGAGCGGUAAUCAAUGGUAAUUAGUGGAGAGAAAAAAAAUGUCAUUGUAGGGGUCAAAUGCACUCACAUUUUCUCUUAAUGUACCUGUGGAUAGUAAUAAUACUUAUACACCCUAAUGCGGGUUUGAUCUUCCUCUCCCUCUAAUAUUGAACAAUUUAAUCCAUUAAAGUUAUCGUUUAUCUCAAUUUUUUUUAUAUACAACAAUAUAUCUACAAAACACUAAGGAGGGGAGAAUAAUUGGUUGCAAACUUGUCACUUGUGAGAUUCAAAUUUAAAACAUUGUAAAAGAAAUAUCAUUAAACAGUAUUACUAAGUGGCAAACAUCUUUUUUCCUUUGCCCUUUUUAUCCUUUUAAAAUACAAAUCUUUUCAAUGUACUUUAAAUUUUAUAAUAAGUAUAUAAUUCAAUAAAUUCUAGACACCAAACCGGCAAUAUAUAAGUAAUAUGUAGAAAAAUGGCAGAGUUAUCCAUGCUUGGCAUCUUGGGUGUAAAGAGCCAACAUCAUAUCAAUUGUUCUGAGGUAUUUGCUGAGGAAAUGGGUUGAACAUUUUGAGUGAUUUGGUUGAAGAGGUAUUCUUGGAGAGGAGGAAGAGUUAAGCAUUCUUGCAGGUCUACCUUGACAUGGAAGAUGAAGGUCGACAUGUGUAGGGAUUUAAGCAAGUAGUGGUGCUGUUCCUUUACGGUUAUCGGCAACAAUAGUGUAAUUGGAACUGAAAAAUUAUUGUAUAACACAUACUGAAUUAUUCAAAACCAAACCUUCUCUCUCUCCGACUCUCCUUCCUAAAAACAAACCCUAAUUUUUCUGUAAUCUCAGCCGCCGGCUGCUUGCUUUGGGUUAGGGUUGGUGACAACCACUCUUCACCUUCCUCCUAGCCUCUCUCUCCCCUCCUAACCCUUUGCCAACCCCUCCACCUCAGUUUUUCACCUUUCACUCCCUCCCCUUUCCCUGCGCUGCCCCCUCCCUCGUGUCUCUCCCUUUCCUUGCAUCUCUGUCUACCAUCUCCCUCCCCCGUAGUUUUUUCCCAUUAUUUUGUGCCUUUACCUAGAUUUGCAGUUGCCUGUUUCAAGGUUCUUUCCUUGAUUUGGGGCUUGAUUGGCGGUCAGGGUAGGCUUUGUGGCUAUUGGUGGGUUGGUUCCACUUCCAUCAGCUUGUUUUUGUGGUUGUGACCCUCUCCACUCCAAUUUGGUGGUUGCAUCCUUGCCCGCUUAGAUCCUGCGGACCCGCCGCCUAGGGCGUUCAAUGACGGGGCGGCUAUCUUAUGCAACCAUAUUAGGUGACUCCGCCUUGUGUGGCCCGAUCUUCUCAGGGAUGUUGUUGAGCUCACUAGUGUGCUAAUGGUUUGGUCCUGGUUUGGGUCUUGGUCGUUGAGAUGAAUUGAUCGGUGGUCCUUUCAUUCUCGGAGUAGUAUGUAGUUGGUUUUGUUACCUCCCCCUGUAAAUUGUGGUCGCGUGUUUUGUGGUUGCUGGAUUUGUCUUUGCUUUAUACGAUUGAUAUGUAGUCUCGUCUUUCAACGAUGAUUUAUUGUGAUCUCGCUUGCGAUGACUUUAUGUGGCUUCACACUUGUGCGAUGACCUAUGUGUUUGCCAGUGUUAAUUUGUUGCGUCUAUCGUGCUUUUGUGACAAAUUUGAACUGGAGACAUCUUGUAGGGUAAGGCAAUGCUUGUGUUAGCCAUUUAGGGGUUUAUUGUUUGUUUACUUGCACAAAUUUACUCCAACCAAUUUCUUGAUCACUGAAGCUUAUGUACCCGAUUGGCAUCUUGUGUAAUUGUUUGUGAAAUUCAAUGAAAUACCAGUCUAUCGUUUCUUGUCCAAAAAAAAAAAAACAAAAACA
This 3437-nucleotide long non-coding RNA is filed under the name Malus domestica (apple). Its description in RNAcentral is "long non-coding RNA (MDOM_LNC004030)". The record is from RNAcentral. Lineage: Eukaryota; Viridiplantae; Streptophyta; Magnoliopsida; Rosales; Rosaceae.